GACGAACGCUGGCGGCGUGCUUAACACUUGCAAGUCGAACGGAAGGGCCCUGCUUUUGUGGGGUGCUCGAGUGGCGAACGGGUGAGUAACACGUGAGUAACCUGCCCUGGACUUUGGGAUAACUUCAGGAAACUGUGGCUAAUACCGGAUAGGAGCUCCUGCUGCAUGGUGGGGGUUGGAAAGUUUCGGCGGGUGGGGAUGGACGCGCGGCUAAUCAGCUUGUUGGUGGGGUAGUGGCUUACCAAGGCUUUGACGGGCAGCCGGCCUGAGAGGGUGACCGGACACAUUGGGACUGAGCUACGGCCCAGACUCAUCCGGGAGGCAGCAGUGGGGAAUAUUGCACAAUGGGCGGAAGCCUGAUGCAGCAACGCCGCGUGCGGGAUGACGGCCUUCGGGUUGUAACCCGCUUUCGCCUGUGACGAAGCGUGAGUGACGGUAAUGGGUAAAGAAGCACCGGCUAACUACGUG
Molecule: ribosomal RNA, 468 nt
Filed under: uncultured bacterium
Lineage: Bacteria
Description: partial 16S ribosomal RNA
Rfam family: Bacterial small subunit ribosomal RNA
Source: RNAcentral